This 303-nucleotide ribosomal RNA is filed under the name uncultured bacterium. RNAcentral describes it as "partial 16S ribosomal RNA". It matches the Rfam family "Bacterial small subunit ribosomal RNA", at positions 507 to 807 of the family's 1533-position model. The record is from RNAcentral.
AGCAGUAGCCACGGGAAUACGGAGGGAGCUAGCGUUGUUCGGAAUUACUGGGCGUAAAGCGCGCGUAGGCGGUUACUCAAGUCAGAGGUGAAAGCCCGGGGCUCAACCCCGGAACUGCCUUUGAAACUAGGUGACUAGAAUCUUGGAGAGGUCAGUGGAAUUCCGAGUGUAGAGGUGAAAUUCGUAGAUAUUCGGAAGAACACCAGUGGCGAAGGCGACUGACUGGACAAGUAUUGACGCUGAGGUGCGAAAGCGUGGGGAGCAAACAGGAUUAGAUACCCCUGUAGUCCCUGUCUCUUAUAC